RNAcentral lists this transfer RNA (72 nucleotides) under Beta vulgaris subsp. vulgaris (sugar beet). It matches the Rfam family "tRNA". From Rfam's summary of the family: Transfer RNA (tRNA) molecules are approximately 80 nucleotides in length. Their secondary structure includes four short double-helical elements and three loops (D, anti-codon, and T loops). Lineage: Eukaryota; Viridiplantae; Streptophyta; Magnoliopsida; Caryophyllales; Amaranthaceae. The record is from Rfam by way of RNAcentral.
ACCUCUCUAGUUAAAGUAGUAUAACACCUGGUCUUAGAUCAGAAAGUAUAGGUGUAAAUCCUGUGAGAGGAA